RNAcentral lists this long non-coding RNA (805 nucleotides) under Fukomys damarensis (Damara mole-rat). RNAcentral's name for it is "lncRNA (ENSFDAG00000030309.1)". Lineage: Eukaryota; Metazoa; Chordata; Mammalia; Rodentia; Bathyergidae. The record is from RNAcentral.
CCAUAAGUAGCGUGUGUGCUCUCCCUCCUCUGUGCGUUCCUCUCCCGCCUCACCCCAGCCCUGCCUGACUCACCCCUCGCAUCUUUCCAAGACUCCACUGCUGCGGAGGGAUAAUGCCUUACUCGCGUCGGAAGAGGAUGCGAGCAAUUAGCUGAGGGCCUGGCCUCAGCGUCCAUCCGGGGCUCCUUGGAGGAUUCUGUGUUCUGUACGGGAGGAUAAUCUGCUUAGAGAUAAUUUAGGAAAACCAAUGGGGUGAGGAUGGCUCUUGGGUUUGCUGGAAAGGGCAGUUCCCUUCCCUACAGAAUGCGGUGUGAAAAACACGUCGUGGACAUCCUGUGCGUUGAAGCUUGCUGACCGAGGAUCCAGGCACAGGGCAAGGGAAAAAGCGUCCUCGCUCGCAGAACCGCUCAGUCCGCUUGCAGCUGCCUGAAACGCAGGAACUCUCCAGGGCAAGCAAGACCCCAGAACAGAAUGUUCCAACAGUGGAAUGGCAGGAUGUGCAGUCUUCUCCUAAGGUGCCUGCACCAUUCAGACCUCCGGACUUCACUCUGUGGGGAAAAGAUGCUCGGCCUGGAGUCCAGCUCCGUUCCAGCUUCCUCAGGAUCUCUGUCUGCCAGAUGCCCCAUGUGUCAUUGCUCACAUCUCCUCCUCAACUGGCUCAAUGCACUUAGCAUUUAAAUACAUGUAAGUAUUUCCAUCCUCACAACAGAAAUAGAACUCUCCUCAGUGUCCUCAGCCCACUCCUCUGGCUCUUCCUUCCUCUUCACAGUCAAGGCUCGAAUCUGUUCACGCUCCAGCCCCCCAC